This 119-nucleotide ribosomal RNA is filed under the name Pteropus alecto (black flying fox). The record is from RNAcentral. Lineage: Eukaryota; Metazoa; Chordata; Mammalia; Chiroptera; Pteropodidae.
GUCUAUGGCCAUGCCACCCUGAAUACACCUGAUCUUGUCUGAUCUCAGAAGCUAAGCAGAGUCAGCCCUGGUUAGUACUUGGAAGGGAGACCACCUAGGAAUACCAGGUGCUGUAGGCU